RNAcentral lists this ribosomal RNA (152 nucleotides) under uncultured eukaryote. RNAcentral describes it as "partial 18S ribosomal RNA". It matches the Rfam family "Eukaryotic small subunit ribosomal RNA", at positions 1299 to 1458 of the family's 1831-position model. The record is from RNAcentral.
UGGUGGAGUGAUUUGUCUGGUUAAUUCCGUUAACGAACGAGACCUUAACCUAUUAAAUAGUUACAAGAACCUGGAUUUAUCCAAUCGUUCUUGGAUAACUUCUUAGAGGGACUCUUCACGUAAAGAGUGAAUGGAAGUUUGAGGCAAAAACA